GACGAACGCUGGCGGCGUGCUUAACACAUGCAAGUCGAGCGGUAAGGCCCUUCGGGUACGACGAGCGGCGAACGGGUGAGUAACACGUGGGUGACCUGCCCUUACGCUCUGGGAUAAGCCUGGGAAACUGGGUCUAAUACCGGAUAUGACCUCAUGACGCAUGUUGUGGGGUGGAAAGCCUUGUGCGGCUAGGGAUGGGCCCGCGGCCUAUCAGCUUGUUGGUGGGGUGAUGGCCACCAAGGCGACGACGGGUAGCCGGCCUGAGAGGGCGACCGGCCACACUGGGACUGAGACACGGCCCAGACUCCUACGGGAGGCAGCAGUGGGGAAUCUUGCGCAAUGGGCGAAAGCCUGACGCAGCGACG
Molecule: ribosomal RNA, 365 nt
Filed under: uncultured bacterium
Lineage: Bacteria
Description: bacterial SSU rRNA
Rfam family: Bacterial small subunit ribosomal RNA
Source: RNAcentral